Non-coding RNA from Peromyscus maniculatus bairdii (prairie deer mouse), 1137 nucleotides. Lineage: Eukaryota; Metazoa; Chordata; Mammalia; Rodentia; Cricetidae. The record is from RefSeq and is a predicted model, not a curated record.
GAGCACAAACAGGCACUCAACUUAGCCCGCUGCCAGCUUCCUGCGAGUUGUUACAUUAACAAAGAAACGGCCUCCUCUGAGCUAUGGCCCAAGCAGAGCCCCAGACAACAUCCUCAUUUUCAAUAACUCUUCCCCUUUAUCUCACUCCGCCUGAUGCCUAAUAAGCUGAUUGCUAUUUACUUUGGGCCAACAGCUAAUCUGUUAAUGAUUGAUUUUAAAUUUUUACAGUCAUUUGUCUUUGGCAGGACCUGAGACUAAGGAAGGCAGUCCUUUCCUACCUGAUGAAUUGGCUUUUUCUUUAGGGGAGAGACCAACAAGGCAAAAAAAAGAAAGAAAGAUUUAAGUCAAAAGUCGUCAUGGUUACAUUGUGCUGAGGAGCAGUUGACACCCAAUGAGAAAUUUCAGUGCAGAAGCCGAAAAGGUAAACUCUUCCCCCGAAAGUCAGCUGCCUCGGAAUUGUCAGCAAACAACGCAAGUGGACAUCUUCCUAAUGGUGCCCCCGGGUAAAGACUGUCUUCAACAUGAGGAUGCAUGGCUUGCCUAAUACGAAGGAGUUUGGUGGAAUUCUGGAAUAAGUGAAGAAGGCUCUAUUGUUGGCCUCACCUGGCUUUUUGGAGACUUGAACUUUACAAAAGAAAGCCAGAAGCCGGAGAGACUAGGAGGAUUUGGCCUGACCACACUGCAGGUCCCAGGUGGCCAGGACACGCUGGUGAGCAGCCCAGCUGUCAUGGCCUAGAGAGAUGAAUAACAGCUCUCAAGGGCAUCCUUAGCCAAGCUCUGGCUCCCGGUCUGAUCUGCCCGAGAAGAAUGAGGGAAACAGGAUGGAAGUGAGCAUUGCUGACCCUCCGUUCCCCAUCACAGUGAAAUUAGAGCCCGACAGUAUGGAUGGGAGAUAAUGAAGCUUCUUUUGAAAACAAGAUGCCCUGUGAGGGAGCGGGGAGGGGUGCUUUGUGAAGUUUUCCAGCCUGGUUGGCAGAGAAGUAAAACCCUGUCGCUGAGGUCACACAUGUGCAUAAACAGCCUACGGGGGGAAAGGCAGAUAACAAACCGGAAACACAUGCAAUAAAGGAAAUGUCCAAAUUCAAACUCUUAAAUACAAGCGCUCAAUCUCAAAUAAAUAUUCAGGAGUCAGCAAGA